GGGCCAAUCGUAUAGUGGCUUAUUAUGCUGUCUUAGGGCUUCUUCGGGUUCAUUCGAACUUGAUGCACUAAGUUGACAGAGGUCCCCGGUUCGAUUCCGGGUUGGCCCC
This 109-nucleotide transfer RNA is filed under the name Testicularia cyperi. Its description in RNAcentral is "tRNA-Pro". Lineage: Eukaryota; Fungi; Basidiomycota; Ustilaginomycetes; Ustilaginales; Anthracoideaceae. The record is from RNAcentral.